GAUGAAGAACGUAGCGAAAUGCGAUACGUAAUGUGAAUUGCAAAUUCAGUGAAUCAUCGAGUCUUUGAACGCACAUUGCGCCCCCUGGUAUUCCGGGGGGCAUGCCUGUCCGAGCGUCAUUGCUGCCCUCAAGCACGGCUUGUGUGUUGGGCCCCGUCCUCCGAUCCCGGGGGACGGGCCCGAAAGGCAGCGGCGGCACCGCGUCCGGUCCUCGAGCGUAUGGGGCCUUGUCACCCGCUCUGUAGGCCCGGCCGGCGCUUGCCGAUCAACCCAAAUUUUUAUCCAGGUUGACCUCGGAUCAGGUAGGGAUACCCGCUGAACUUAAGCAUAUCAAUAAGCGGAGGA
Molecule: unclassified non-coding RNA, 345 nt
Filed under: soil metagenome
Description: partial contains 5.8S ribosomal RNA, internal transcribed spacer 2, and large subunit ribosomal RNA
Rfam family: 5.8S ribosomal RNA (bases 1-119)
Source: RNAcentral